This is a non-coding RNA of Pelodiscus sinensis (Chinese soft-shelled turtle), 837 nucleotides long. Lineage: Eukaryota; Metazoa; Chordata; Testudines; Trionychidae. The record is from RefSeq and is a predicted model, not a curated record.
UACCUGUUUGGAUGAAGUAAUGGCUAUGGGGAACACCUCCAUCUAGGAUAAGUAGAGACGACAGCUGCUUCUCAUGAGCUCAAAGGAGGGUUUCCUCAAAGCUGAGGACUAAACUGUGAUCCAGGGUGAGGGGUUGUUAUACAGGAGGAAAAAGAUUUGUCAGACCCGUUAAGAAUAUUAUCGUAGUAGGGUGGGCAAAAAACAAGAUUUCCUAGGUUGUUUGGUGAAGACAGGGAAAGCAGCAAGCUGGUCCCCGAAUUAUGAAUGCAUCGACUUAUGACCGUUCGUAUUGACGACCAUCCUUCUAUACAGCCAGAACCCGAGUUACAAACAAAAUCCGCACUUAUGAACAGCACGGCCGCACCCUCUGCAAAAGUCUUUGCAAGGCGAGCACUCCUUCUCCAGCGGAGCCCGGGAACUAAAGCUUGCAGCUGAGAGAGUGAAUCUUAGUAGCUCCUGAAAGAAAUGGCCCCCUACUAAGGCUGCAAGCUCUGCGUUGAUUUCAACCAAGAUGCAACGUGCCUCCGCUCCCACCAAGCGCCAAGGUCAUGGGGGCACCCUACACCACACCAGGUCCUCCAGCUGGUACGGCGUGUGCUCCACACUCACUGUUCUUUUGGCCCGCCCGGAGCUCGCAUCCUCUGCAUCUUCAAAUUGCGAUGUAAAUGUCAGCUGAUUUGUUGUGAUAUUGACACCCCAGUCACAUUGUAAGGCUCGGCGGUAACAUCUCUGAUUGUUUUUUCUUGCACAUCAGUAUUUCUGCUUCAGCUGGUUUGGGUCAAGGAGGUGCAUUUCAGGAUGAGUAAUUAUCCCAGGGACGAUGCACAUAGUGAAAAA